AUGAACACCACGUCGCGCCUCUGUCAUGUGAUGUCGCUUCUUAAUUGUAUUUGUCACGACCUCAUCACAAACAACAAAACAACAUACUCGAAGAAGAAAAAGAAAGAAACACAACUUACCUGCCAGAAAAGUCAUCUGGUGCAUCUUCGAGAAGACAUCGAUGACAAGAAAACCAAAAAACACAGGUUAAGGCUCAGAUUCAUGUGCGACGAAGAUGAAGACAGAGGAGUAUGA
This 234-nucleotide long non-coding RNA is filed under the name Vicia faba (fava bean). The record is from RNAcentral. Lineage: Eukaryota; Viridiplantae; Streptophyta; Magnoliopsida; Fabales; Fabaceae.